RNA transcript from Diabrotica virgifera virgifera (western corn rootworm), 1418 nucleotides. RefSeq lists it as uncharacterized. NCBI's taxonomy places the organism in Eukaryota, Metazoa, Arthropoda, Insecta, Coleoptera, Chrysomelidae. The record is from RefSeq and is a predicted model, not a curated record. The transcript has 2 exons.
UGUGCUUGAAGUAAUAACAUUUUUUAUAAGUACCCUUCCUACUUUAAGAAAAUAAGUUAUUCCUGUAUCGCAGUUGAGAUAUUCAACUGUGCAAGGUAGGUAUUUUAAUCUACAAAUUUUAAUUAACUUAGAUGAAUUUUUUACUUCUCUAAAAGGUUUUAAAAAUAUUUUUCAAUGCAACUAAAUUAUCCAUUUGGUCUUAUUCUGUCCAUUUAUCGGCCUACUCCCCGGUUAAAUGCGUUAAUUUAUUUGACACCUAACACUUAGCUGAUUGAAUGCAUCAAUUUAAUUAGCCUACUGUAUUUGUAGAAAAAUGGACAUAAGGAAGUUCUUUAACAAGCCAAACAAGCGGCUGAAAAUUGAUGAUGGAUCUGACAUACCGAACAGUACCGAAAACAGUAGUAUAGUAUGCAGUCAAAAUGAUUUAGCUGUAGCAGGGCCAUCUAGCUUGGAGUCAGCUGUAUCCGCCUCUCAAAGAGAAACUAACGUUGUAACGGCCACCGCAUCGGAUAAUUUUGCGAUUGUUGAAGACAGUUUAAAUUUGGAUGUUGGGAACUACCUUGAUAUUAAUAAAAUUUGUAGCUUGAACGAUCGCUUGAAAUUUACUUUGUUAACAAACCCAUGGAAGCCAGAUAAAUGUUACAAUUUCAAGUAUGAUAUUGACGAUGGCAAACGACCAUUUAUCCAUGAAUGGUUAAAUACGUACCCCUGGUUAGCUUAUUCAAAAGAAGUUAAAGGUGGGCUAUGCAAGUUGUGUGUACUGUUUAGGCCCCGCGUAACCCAUGGUAGUUAUCAAAGCGGCUUUAUAAAUCGCCCAUUCACCAAUUUCAGAAAGUUUCAUGAAAAUGCGAAAUCGAAAGGUUUUCAGAUAGAAACAAACCAUCAUUUGAAAUUUUCAAUCUGCACCCUAAAAUCAUGAAAGAUCUUUCUAAGGAAGAUUUUGAAAAGUCUAUUAACAAUAUAAACAGCACGUAUUGUGAAUUGUUAGACAACUUUAAGGAGCAAUCAAUUCUGUGGUUCGACCUUUGGAAAAACACGGAGAUAGAUGCCAAAGCCUUGGAAAAACUGAACUUAAUAGAGGUUCUUGAGCAUGAGCAUGCCUGCUUUUUGCCGUCAGUAGCAAAAGCCAUCCAAAUAGCUCUUUGUCUGCCACCAACAACUUGCACCAUCGAGCGAUCAUUCAGCACUCUCAAACGUGUGAAGACCUGGAUAAGGAAUACGAUGUCGAACAAUCGUCUAAGUGGGCUAUGCCUGUUAUCUGUACACAGAAGAAAAAUAAAAGAAAAUAAAGAAAACUUCAUGCAGAAAGUAAUUGAUUUAAUUGCGAUGGACACCAGAAGAAUUCAAUUAUUAUUUAAGUAACAUUUUACUGACACUAACCGUGUUGCGUUUUAAACAGCAAAACAAUUUUUCUUGUA